GUUCCGUUAAUCAAGACGAAAGUUAGAGGAUCGAAGGCGAUCAGAUACCGCCCUAGUUCUAACUGUAACUAUGCUGACCAGCUAUCUGCCGGCGUUAUUCCAUGACUCGGCAGGCCGCUUCCGGGAAACCAGAGUUUCUGAGUUCCAGGGGAAGUAUGGUUGCAAAUCUGAAACUUAAAGGAAUUGACGGAAGGGCACCACAAGGAGUGGAGCCUGUGGCUUAAUUUGACUCAACACGGGAAACUUUACCAGGCCCAGACAGUAGAAUGAUUGACAGAUUGAAAGCUCUUUCUCAAUUUUAUUGGUUGGUGGUGCAUGGCCGUUCUUAGUUGGUGGAGUGAUUUGUCUGGUUUAU
Molecule: ribosomal RNA, 355 nt
Filed under: Neognathophausia ingens
Lineage: Eukaryota; Metazoa; Arthropoda; Malacostraca; Lophogastrida; Lophogastridae
Description: SSU rRNA
Rfam family: Eukaryotic small subunit ribosomal RNA
Source: RNAcentral